CCUACGGGUGGCAGCAGUCGAGAAUCAUUCACAAUGGGGGAAACCCUGAUGGGGCGACGCCGCGUGAGUGAAGAAGUAUCUCGGUAUGUAAAGCUCUAUCAGCAGGGAAGAAGAAAUGACGGUACCUGAGUAAGAAGCCCCGGCUAACUACGUGCCAGCAGCCGCGGUAAUACGUAGGGGGCAAGCGUUAUCCGGAAUUACUGGGUGUAAAGGGAGCGUAGACGGUGAUGUAAGUCUGGAGUGAAAGGCGGGGGCCCAACCCCCGGACUGCUCUGGAAACUAUGUGACUGGAGUGCAGGAGAGGUGAGCGGAAUUCCUAGUGUAGCGGUGAAAUGCUUAGAUAUCACGAAGAACUCCGAUUGCGAAGGCAGCCUACUAAACUGCCACUGACAUUGAUGCUCGAAAGUGUGGGUAUCAAACAGGAUUAGAUACCCGGGUAGUC
Molecule: ribosomal RNA, 442 nt
Filed under: uncultured bacterium
Lineage: Bacteria
Description: partial 16S ribosomal RNA
Rfam family: Bacterial small subunit ribosomal RNA
Source: RNAcentral